RNAcentral lists this non-coding RNA (68 nucleotides) under unclassified sequences. RNAcentral's name for it is "S4-Fusobacteriales ribosomal protein leader". It matches the Rfam family "S4-Fusobacteriales ribosomal protein leader". The record is from RNAcentral.
UUGUAAAGAUAUGUUUGGCUGUAGGGCUUAUUCCUUAGGUUUUUUUUAUGUAAGGGCAUAUUGAAGAA